CAGGAAAGAAAAAAAAACCCAAACCCCAUCACUCUGCCAGCCCCUGUGACCAAAGCAGCCCAAAUCAGUUACCUUGACAACUCUCAUGCACAGACUGCACCAGCCUAUGUUGCAAACAUCACUGCCCCGCUUCUAACAGGAAGAGAUACUCUUUUGGGGGUCUUGCAGGGCCCAGGACCAGAGCUCCUUCUACCCAGGGCCCUUCCAAAGGCAAAGCACAGAGUCACAUUUGGGCGUGGCAUGAGAGGGAAAUAAAGAGAUUUGGCUGUAGUGGGAGGGAGGUUUCAGUGCUUUUUCUGGGGACAUUGGUGCCUAUCUCUAUUCUGAGAAUUGUUCUCCUCAUAGGACACCAUAAAUCGCAUCCAGGACCUGCUGGCUGAGGGGACUAUAACAGGUGUGAUUGACGACCGGGGCAAGUUCAUCUACAUAACCCCAGAGGAACUGGCCGCCGUGGCCAACUUCAUCCGACAGCGGGGCCGGGUGUCCAUCGCCGAGCUUGCCCAAGCCAGCAACUCCCUCAUCGCCUGGGGCCGGGAGCCCCCUGCCCAAGCCCCAGCCUGACCCCAGUCCUUCCCUCUUGGACUCAGAGUUGGUGUGGCCUACCUGGCUAUACAUCUUCAUCCCUCCCCACCAUCCUGGGGAAGUGAUGGUGUGGCCAGGCAGUUAUAGAUUAAAGGCCUGUGAGUACUGCUGAGCUUGGUGUGGCUUGGUAUGGCAGAAGGCCUGGCCUAGGAUCCUAGAUAAGCAGGUGAAAUUGAGGCUUCAGAAUAUAUCUGAGAGGUGGGGAGGGUCCCUUGGAAGCUGGUGAAGUCCUGUUCUUAGUAUGAAUCCAUUCAUUCAAGAAAAUAGCCUGUUGCACAUUUA
RNAcentral lists this small RNA (864 nucleotides) under Pan troglodytes (chimpanzee). RNAcentral's name for it is "processed transcript". Lineage: Eukaryota; Metazoa; Chordata; Mammalia; Primates; Hominidae. The record is from RNAcentral.